UCAUCUCUCUGUUAAGAAAGAAUCCCACCAAUUCCCCAAUGCUAUACCCUCAAGGUUGUCAAACUCUUUCUCUCACCCUCCAUCUCGUCCUUGUCCUUCACAAUCGCAACCACCGCCACCACCACCACCACCUAUGAGGGAGUGGCCGAGUGAGAGAUUUGCCGGCGGGUGACAGAGAGUUCCGACCGAUAUAGAGAGUUCCGGUGGUGUUUCGCGGUAACACGGCGGUGUUUGACGACGGCGGUGACAGAGCUUCUUUCUCCUUCUUUCCUCUGGCUCUAUGAAAGAGGCAGCUCAGUUUCAAUUUUUGGGUUCUCAAUUUUAGAGAACGCCAGUAGGUAAGAAACUAAGAAACAAAAGUUUCGACGGAUCCAGUAGCAAUUGAUGCACCUGGAGGAUUUCUUUUCGAGUGGUGGUCUGUCUUUUGGGAUAUAUUCAUCUUGAGAACAAAUGAGAAACAUUCUGAGGCUGCUGCCACUUACAUUGAGACCCAGCAAACGAAGGCAAAAGAACAACUUCAAAUGCAGCAAAUGCAACUAAUGCAACAACGCAAUGUCCAGUUACAGAGAAGAGAUCCUAAUCAUCCUGCACUGAGUGGACUGGGUGGUUCCUUAAAUGCCAUUAACUCUGAAGGUAUGUUGGGGCAGCCACCAGCAAGUGUGUUGGCUAUGAAAAUGUAUGAAGAGCGAAUGAAACACCCUCAUUCAAUGGAUUCAGAAGCAUCUCCAAAUCUUAUCGAUGCGAAUAGGAUGGCUCUUCUCAAAUCAGCAACAAGUCAUCAAGGUCAGCUGGUUCAUGGUAAUUCAGGGAAUAUGUCCAAUGCAUUGCAGCAACUGCAAGCACGGUCUACUUUAACCAAUGACAUCAAAGGAGAUGUUAACAUUGGCGCUGGUCCAAAGAAUUUGCCUUUGGAUACAUCAGUUUAUCGACAAGCAAUUUUACAAUCAAAAUCUGGGUUAGGAAGUGCAGGCAAGAGGCAGGCUGAGGAAGAAGUACAGGCAGUGAGUGCAAAAAAGCAAAAGCUAGAAGAGGUUCAUCAAAAGAAGGAAGCUGAGUUGAAGAAAUUUAAGAAUGAUGAAAGUAGUUAUGAGGAAGAGGUAGUACUAAGUUGAAAGUUGAAACUAAGCUUUAAGAAUAUAUCAUGGCUUCAUUUCAUAGUACAAAUGUAUAAUUAUAGGGAAUUUUAGAUUGUAGGAUAUGAUAGAAGACUAUCAAUUUGGUUUGGGGUCUUAGAUCUAUAUGCGACAUGAUUGCCUAAAGAGGGACUUGGAGCUUGAAGUUAUCAACCAAAUUAAUGGAAAAAAGGAGCUGUGAUUAUUUUUGAAUUAUUGUUUAGAGGAAGAGAGAAAUAAUGUACUAUUGCAUCCUUAUUGUGCAUUGAAACUUUUUUUUUCCCUUCAUAUUGUAAUGAUAAUGAUAAUGAUAAUUUAUGUGGUUGUUUUUGUAAAUUGAAUUUGGAUAUAAUGAGAUUGACCUAGAAAAGUCUCCUAUAUUGAAGAAUACAGGAAGGAUGAAUUCUAUUUUGG
Molecule: RNA transcript, 1526 nt
Organism: Trifolium pratense (red clover)
Lineage: Eukaryota; Viridiplantae; Streptophyta; Magnoliopsida; Fabales; Fabaceae
Gene name: transcriptional corepressor LEUNIG_HOMOLOG-like
Exons: 10
Source: RefSeq, a predicted model, not a curated record